This 1898-nucleotide long non-coding RNA is filed under the name Phoenix dactylifera (date palm). Its description in RNAcentral is "long non-coding RNA (PDAC_LNC013715)". Lineage: Eukaryota; Viridiplantae; Streptophyta; Magnoliopsida; Arecales; Arecaceae. The record is from RNAcentral.
GACCCUAUAGGGUAUUGGGUCCAAGUUUUCAACUAGGAACUGUAAGAUCUGAUGGGUCUACAGGUCUUAGCUUGGAUUGGGUAUAGAUUGGAUUAAGCCUAGAUCCUGGUACCUAACAGACGUACUUGUCCAAAACUACAGAUAAUGAGGAGAAGAAAAAUGAGAUAAUAAUAAAAGAAUAUUAUUGGUGAGACAAUGGUGAUCGAAAUUAAGUUGUGGUCUGCAGGUGGUACAAAUCGGGAAGGUGGAAAAACUUAAGUUUAUCAAUAUAUUUAUGGAGUAUGAGUCAAAAUAAAAUUUAUAAACUAUAUUAUGAAAUAUAUGGUAAAUUAUCAAAUCUGAGUCAAGUGUGGUAUGUGUUUACUAGACUGGGAUCCAGAGUAGCAAAACUUGAGGGAAUAUCUUACGACUCAUGCCUGAUGUAACGCCCACAUUUUCUAGAUCGCGUUCAAGUCAUAUAUAGGUGUGUUCCAGGUCAGGGUCGAUCAGGUCUAUUAGUCCAACCGACAGCCUUAGUAGGUUGUAGGUCUGCUAGUGAGUUCUUUUGAACUUUCUUAAGAUAUGGAGUUAGGAUGGCAAAAGCUUAAACUUAUUCAACGAUGCCAGGGACAAGGAUUGGGAAAGCAAUAGUUCAAGGAAUUCAAUAUAUUGAGGAAUUGACUUGAGGGAUCUCAAUUUCUGUGGGAAUUUAAUUGCGAUGAGAAAGACCUAGACUUUGAGAUAUCUAGGUGGGAUUGGCUGUAUGUAUGAAGGAGGCCAUCUAAACUACAAUCUCCAACUGCUUAUUCCCUAGGAAAAUUUCUAGAGUACUACUACCGAUCACCUGUUAAUCAUCAUCGCUUAGUUCACCCAAGACAUGGAGUCGGAGAUUGAUGCCAGACAUGGCAGGGUCUGUGGUGUCAAUUGACCCCUACCUGCACUCAACUAACCAUCGACUUUUUAUCCUGCGGUGAACUCAACAGUGAUUAGCUGUGGGUUAUCUAUAGCUUUUUCCAUGAUCUCCAUGAUGUUUAGCCACAACCUCCUCAAGCAUUAUCCUUAUUACUAGAUGUUGCCGCCGAAUCUCGAAUGAGGUCAGAGUACAGCCCGAACAACUCUAAGGUCAGUUGGAGACGAGCUGAGUAAACUAGCUGAGGUGCACGGGGCGGAAAAUCCUCCGAUGCCUAAGUUAGAAUAAUGCGGCAACAAUAUAGAAAAGAGAGAAUUUCAGCAGAGUGCGGUCUUUGUGAGUAAUAUUGCAUGCGUACCUAAAGUCCCCCAAGCUCCCCCUUUAUAUAGAAAAGAUCAUUUUGUCGUUGCCUGACCUGACAUAAAGUACAAUGAUAGCCAAGUAACAGCCGGUAGUACGGACAAGGCGAGAGUGCUAGUCUGCAUAGGCGGUGGAAAGUGUUGGUAGGGCGCAGACCAUAGUACUAUCUGACCGUGGGCUGCUAGAGCUGUCGGUUAUUGGAAACUGUCAACCCUUGUUGACACAUACUGAUUGUUCUUAUUGGCUGAUCGACUUGUUGGCUAGAGCCAAGAUAGCUCACUUUGGUUGGUCAGCUGCUCGACUGGGCUAAGGUUGUUCUUCUCGGCUUACGUCCAAGAUCAAGAGGGUAGACCUGGCCCAAGGUCAAGGUGUCCAGUACUUCUCCUAACACAUGCCCCACACUUCUGAGGCCAAACUGCCUUCUGGUUCGAGCAGCGGAAGUCAAAUCAUCACUUCAAUAGAGGUAGAGACUUUUGUCAUGGAAAAUAAAUGUGUUGAUCUAUCUUCUCGAAGCAACGCCGAAUCUAGAGUUUCUCGAGGCAUCAUCAUUGUGGGGUUCUCUUCGAGAAAUUAUUACUGCAACAAUCCUGGCGAAUCGUUGCUUUGUGUCCUAGGCUAACACGUGGCAUGAUUUGCCCUAGUAGUUGAA